GGAGGGUAAGGACAAGGAGGACUUUUUGGUUCUUUUCAUGCAAAGCAAAACAGACUCUUUCUCUUCUUGACUGCAACUGACCUGAUGCUUGAGCUUGGAGCGAGAGGCAGGAUCCAUCCUCCAGCUUCCUCAGGAGGAGAAAGAUCAAAGAAACUCCACUCACCGUUCAAGGCCUUGCUAAAGCAUCACUUCCUCCAGGAAGCCCUCCCUGCUCUCCCAGCCGAGUCAGCAGAAUCCACAGAAUGUGCAGCUUCCAGGAUCCUUCAACAUCUGGUGUCCCCCUCGCUCCCUGGCAGCACCUCCUCGGCCUUCUCUGCCUGCACGCGAGUCACUCAGGCUCUGUCAGAGGCUCUUCUCCCUCAUCUCGUUCCCCGGAGCUCCUCUCCGGCUGCACCCACCGCCUGGGCUGAGGACCUGGGUAUCUGGAAUUAUAACCAAUCAAUAGACAGAGGGUAAGAGAGAAGACACUCUUGAGUACACGUGGAGCCAGCAGGGCUUGGAAGAGAGAGAUUCCCAGGCCUCCCGUUCAUCCUAACCAUCGGUGUCCCCAGCACUACUCUGUGACAAAGGCUGCCACUCAACUUCUAUGGAUGUCAGUUUCCUCAUCUGAGAAAUGGGUUUGGCCAGACUCAACCCACAGAGUUGCCCAAGGAGCACAGAGGAGUAUGACCUCGUGGGCACAGCACCCCCUGUGCUUCACACAACUACUUGCCACAUGGACUACUGAUCUCGACGCAUGGACCUCCCAGUCGCUGGAGGGCCCUUAAAAGUAGAAGAGGGAGGCGAGAGAAGAGUCUGAAGGAGCGUGACAAGGGGAGAAAGUCAGAGAGGCGACACUGGCUUUGAAGAUGGAGGAAGGGGCCACGAGCCAAACAAAGGGGGUGCCUCUAGAAGCUGGAAAGGAAUGGGAAAUAGCUUCUCCCCUCGAGCCUCCAGAAUGGAACGCAGCCCUGCUGACACGUGAUUGUAGCGCAGUGGGACCUAUGUCAGACUCGCACCCUGCAGAACUGGAAGGUAUGAGAUUUGUGGUGUCGUAACCCACCCAGUUGGUGGUCAUUUGUUAGCGCAGCCCUAGGAAACUACAACAGGAGGAUCCUGCCUCCCAGGUGCGUGCCCAGGUGUGUGGCGGGGGGAGGGUGUCUGCAGGAGGCGUGGUCUGGGCGGCUGGGAAGCCUGGCUUGGACCUAGAUUCUCUCCCUCAGCCUCCUCGCCUUCGCUCAGGCUGGCCCCUGCCGGGAAGGCACCUCUCCUGGAGGAUGCCUGGGGGCUGCCUCCCCUCCUUCCUCAGUGCUUCCAGAGAUCUUGGUUCUUAGACUACUUACCUGCCUUGCCCCCUUCAGACCCUGACUUCCAUAGCCGAUUCCCUUUGAUGUCCGCCACAAACCGGCCCAGGCUUUGAGGUCAGACAGCCCUGGGUUCAAAUCCCAGCUCCACCACUUACAUAAGCUCUGUGGAGCCCAGUGGGUUACUGACCCUUUCUGAGGGUCAGGCUCCAGGGCGUAACACCACAUCUCUCUCAGCCUGGUUUUUAGGACCUUCUCUAUAAGGUGCUCUAUGAAACUCUGCCCUACGAGGGAAUCUAUCCUAUGGGGGGGUCCCUAGGAUUCAGCAGCCAGGUACUGCCGACUCGAGGUCCCAGGCGUCUAGAGACGCACGGUCACUGAGCCCCCGAGUUGGGCCCCUUCCCCUGGUCGCGUGGCCUUCACAGCCCUGGGGGGCCCCCCUGCAGCAUGAGGACAGAGAGGCCUGGAGUGGGGAGCUUGCUCCUCCAGUUGUAGUGGGAGGGCCACUGCCCUUUCUCCCGCAGCCCUGCCUUCCCUUCUGGGGUGGUGCCCCCGGACCAGGGGGAGCCCGGGCCCCAGAGUUAACUCAGGCCCCAGCAGCCUGUGGCUCCUCAGCCCGGGGUGGCCACCUGGGGGUGGGACCCCCCAGUUGGUCUGCAAUUGUCCUGAGCAGUGUUGGGGGAGGCCCUCUGCCCAGGGGGGUGCCCCCACUGCUGAUUCUUCCUCUCUAUCAGGUCACUCGAGGGCCAGGAAGGAACUCCCCAACUUUGGCUUCUCAGAAGGCGGCCAGGACAAGACCACCAGCCCCUGGGCUCUGCUGCUCACCCUCCUGUGUCCUGUGUCCCCUGUCCCUCUGCCUCCGCCCUGGUCUCUACUUGGAAACAAAGCUGCUGGGCUCCAGUUGAGUCCCCCCCUGGCAUGGGGUCUGCCCUACUCACCCCUUGAGAUAUCUGUGGGCUAGGGAAGGACCCAAUUCUGAAAAGAUGUGACCUUCCCUUCCAUGAGAUUACAAAUAAAACUACA
This is a long non-coding RNA of Balaenoptera ricei (Rice's whale), 2306 nucleotides long. RefSeq lists it as uncharacterized. The transcript has 6 exons. The record is from RefSeq and is a predicted model, not a curated record. Lineage: Eukaryota; Metazoa; Chordata; Mammalia; Artiodactyla; Balaenopteridae.